AUUGAACGCUGGCGGCAUGCUUUACACAUGCAAGUCGAACGGCAGCGCGGGCUUCGGCCUGGCGGCGAGUGGCGAACGGGUGAGUAAUGCAUCGGAACGUGCCCAGUAGUGGGGGAUAGCUCGGCGAAAGCCGGAUUAAUACCGCAUACGACCUGAGGGUGAAAGCGGGGGAUCUUCGGACCUCGCGCUAUUGGAGCGGCCGAGGGCAGAUUAGCUAGUUGGUGGGGUAAAGGCCUACCAAGGCGACGAUCUGUAGCUGGUCUGAGAGGACGACCAGCCACACUGGGACUGAGACACGGCCCAGACUCCUACGGGAGGCAGCAGUGGGGAAUUUUGGACAAUGGGCGAAAGCCUGAUCCAGCAAUGCCGCGUGUGUGAUGAAGGCCUUCGGGUUGUAAAGCACUUUUGGCGGGAACGAAAAGGACUGUGCCAAUACCACGGUUCGAUGACGGUACCCGCAGAAUAAGCACCGGCUAACUACGUG
This 484-nucleotide ribosomal RNA is filed under the name uncultured bacterium. Its description in RNAcentral is "partial 16S ribosomal RNA". It matches the Rfam family "Bacterial small subunit ribosomal RNA", at positions 29 to 507 of the family's 1533-position model. The record is from RNAcentral.